This 208-nucleotide ribosomal RNA is filed under the name uncultured bacterium. RNAcentral describes it as "partial 16S ribosomal RNA". It matches the Rfam family "Bacterial small subunit ribosomal RNA", at positions 32 to 220 of the family's 1533-position model. The record is from RNAcentral.
AAUCAACGCUGGCGGCGUGCCUAACACAUGCAAGUCGAACGCGAAAGGCCCCUUCGGGGGCCCGGUAGAGUGGCGGACGGGUGAGUAACACGUGGGUAAUUUGCCUUUGGGUGGGGAAUAACACCUCGAAAGAGGUGCUAAUACCGCAUAACGCAGCGGCACCGCAUGGUGACAGUUGUUAAAGCGGGGGAUCGCAAGACUCGCGCCU